This 429-nucleotide ribosomal RNA is filed under the name Chloroflexota bacterium. Its description in RNAcentral is "Chloroflexi bacterium partial 16S ribosomal RNA". It matches the Rfam family "Bacterial small subunit ribosomal RNA", at positions 355 to 776 of the family's 1533-position model. Lineage: Bacteria; Bacillati; Chloroflexota. The record is from RNAcentral.
UGGGGAAUAUUGCACAAUGGGCGCAAGCCUGAUGCAGCCAUGCCGCGUGUGUGAAGAAGGCCUUCGGGUUGUAAAGCACUUUCAGCGGGGAGGAAGGCGAUAAGGUUAAUAACCUUGUCGAUUGACGUUACCCGCAGAAGAAGCACCGGCUAACUCCGUGCCAGCAGCCGCGGUAAUACGGAGGGUGCAAGCGUUAAUCGGAAUUACUGGGCGUAAAGCGCACGCAGGCGGUCUGUCAAGUCGGAUGUGAAAGACCCGGGCUAAACCUGGGAACUGCAGUAGAAACUGGCAGGCGAGAGUCUUGUAGAGGGAGGUAGAAUUCCAGGUGUAGCGGUGAAAUGCGUAGAGAUCUGGAAGAAUACCGGUGGCGAAGGCGGCCCCCUGGACAAAGACUGACGCUCAGGUGCGAAAGCGUGGGGAGCAAACAGG